CCCUUAGAUGUUCUGGGCCGCACACGCGCUACAAUGACAAAGUCAACGAGUAGAUCCGUUACUGAUAAGUACCGGUAAUCUUUUCAGUCUUUGUCGUGAUGGGGAUAGACCCUUGUAAUUAUUGGUCUCCAACGAGGAAUUCCUAGUAAACGCAAGUCAUCAACUUGCAUUGAUUACGUCCCUGCCCUUUGUACACACCGCCCGUCGCACCUACCGAUUGAAUGGCCCGGUGAAGUCUUCGGACCGGAGCUGACUCGUUAGCUCCAGAAAGUUGAGUAAACCUUACCAUUUAGAGGAAGGUGAAGUCGUAACA
RNAcentral lists this ribosomal RNA (313 nucleotides) under uncultured eukaryote. RNAcentral describes it as "partial 18S ribosomal RNA". It matches the Rfam family "Eukaryotic small subunit ribosomal RNA", at positions 1470 to 1796 of the family's 1831-position model. The record is from RNAcentral.